Molecule: ribosomal RNA, 426 nt
Filed under: uncultured bacterium
Lineage: Bacteria
Description: bacterial SSU rRNA
Rfam family: Bacterial small subunit ribosomal RNA
Source: RNAcentral
UAGGGAAUAUUGGACAAUGGGGGCAACCCUGAUCCGGCCAUGCCGCGUGAGUGAAGAAGGCCUUGGGUUGUAAAGCUCUUUUGUCCGGAAAGAAAAGCUUCGGGUUAAUACCCCGGGGUUCUGACGGUACCGGAAGAAUAAGCACCGGCUAACUUCGUGCCAGCAGCCGCGGUAAUACGAAGGGUGCAAGCGUUACUCGGAAUUACUGGGCGUAAAGCGUGCGUAGGUGGUUGUUUAAGUCUGAUGUGAAAGCCCUGGGCUCAACCUGGGAAUGGCAUUCGAAACUGGGCAGCUAGAGUGCGGUAGAGGGUAGUGGAAUUCCCGGUGUAGCAGUGAAAUGCGUAGAGAUCGGGAGGAACAUCUGUGGCGAAGGCGACUGCCUGGACCAGCACUGACACUGAGGCACGAAAGCGUGGGGAGCAAACA